UGCGGCUGCUAUACAUGCAGUCGAGCGGACAGAUGGGAGCUUGCUCCCUGAUGUUAGCGGCGGACGGGUGAGUAACACGUGGGUAACCUGCCUGUAAGACUGGGAUAACUCCGGGAAACCGGGGCUAAUACCGGAUGGUUGUUUGAACCGCAUGGUUCAAACAUAAAAGGUGGCUUCGGCUACCACUUACAGAUGGACCCGCGGCGCAUUAGCUAGUUGGUGAGGUAACGGCUCACCAAGGCAACGAUGCGUAGCCGACCUGAGAGGGUGAUCGGCCACACUGGGACUGAGACACGGCCCAGACUCCUACGGGAGGCAGCAGUAGGGAAUCUUCCGCAAUGGACGAAAGUCUGACGGAGCAACGCCGCGUGAGUGAUGAAGGUUUUCGGAUCGUAAAGCUCUGUUGUUAGGGAAGAACAAGUACCGUUCGAAUAGGGCGGUACCUUGACGGUACCUAACCAGAAAGCCACGGCUAACUACGUGCCAGCAGCCGCGGUAAUA
RNAcentral lists this ribosomal RNA (501 nucleotides) under Bacillus subtilis. RNAcentral's name for it is "bacterial SSU rRNA". It matches the Rfam family "Bacterial small subunit ribosomal RNA", at positions 39 to 525 of the family's 1533-position model. Lineage: Bacteria; Bacillati; Bacillota; Bacilli; Caryophanales; Bacillaceae. The record is from RNAcentral.